Molecule: long non-coding RNA, 3788 nt
Organism: Syngnathus typhle (broad-nosed pipefish)
Lineage: Eukaryota; Metazoa; Chordata; Actinopteri; Syngnathiformes; Syngnathidae
Exons: 2
Source: RefSeq, a predicted model, not a curated record
CGUGCCCACGCGGAGAACGCCGGAUGGGCAGGACUGGGUUAGGGGGGAGGCCUUCCACUGCCGACUGAGGGUCUCCCUUCUGGAGGUGUCCUUCAUGUUCAUCGUCUUCCUGCGGGCAUCAACCAAAAAAGCCAUUUUUGGGGGACAGAAGAGGCGCUUAAAGCCAUUCCUUACCGUUCCUCAGGUUGAGUCUUGAGGCUGACGCUCUUCCAAUCGGCGCAGUAGCUCUCCCUCUGGGCUCUAUUCUCUUCCCGGACGCUACACGACAACUCCGCUCCCUCCACCACGCCGUUACACUUCUCCACAAUGGUACACACCGGCAUCUUGCUCCUGAAGCUCAGAUAAACUGUGAUGGACUUGAAACAAAGUGUGGCAAUGCUCCAGAUGGCCUCCUCUUUGUCCUCUGUGUGUCCUGGUGUGUCGGAGUUGAAGUCAUGCCACAGACUUUAUGGAGACGACGUUGCUAUUUUAGAUACGUGUUGUCACCGGACAAUCGGCGUGCGCUGACAUCGGACACCGACAAGUGUUCCGGGUAGCCGCUAUGAAGCUCCUCUGCUCAGACUAAUUGGCAUGAAAUCCCACCAAAGGGUCAUCGGACCAACACUUUCCACCUUUGCCUUACACACGGUAUAGGGAUUAUGUAACCAAAAACAAACACAACAAGCUGAUCUGCAUUUGGUUCUUAUGUAGAGUGGAUGAGCCUUUGCUAAUGUGGAAACAGUCAACAGCUGCUUUUCAAACACGACACCACCUUUUAAGACUUUGAGACUUUAAAUCUUGACUCCAUUGAUAGAGUCAUUGUUUGGUCCUGGAAACAUGGAUCUGAAAUCUGAAACUAGACAAAAGUUAAUUAUAUGGCAUGGCAUCAAGUGUAUUUCAGGGGGGGCAGUGACCCCGCGGCCCCCCCUCUAGCUACGGCAGUUCAUAAACUGUUGCUCAGCUGGACUUGCUGGGCUGCUAUGAUUUGUUGAGAAGGGUAGGUAGACAAUUAGGUUGCCUAAUUCUGACACGUCAAGAUAGAAACCCAUUUUUUCCCCUUUUUUUAUCUUUUGUGCUGGUGCAGCACCGCGUGACACCAUCAAACUUCCUUAUUCCUGCCGCACGGUUGCCGCAUCCACCGAUUCAUCACCUCAAUGACAGAGCGGCACGCUCGGCACUCAGAUUACAUCGCCUGGGAAGCGCUGGCAGCUGGAAAGUUGGUGCGAGGUUACAAAAGUGACUCACUCGUCUGCAUUGGGUAGUGAUAUAACACAUACGCAAAGCACAAUGGCUACCAUGGCAUAAUCAGCUGUUAUUUAUUUGUUUAUUUAUAUAUAAAUAAAUUAUAUAUUAUAUAAUAUAUAAAUAAAUUCUAUAUAUUAUAUAAUAUAUAAAUAAACUAUAUAUAAAUAAAUUAUAUAUAUAUAUUAUUCCACACACUGUCCCUUUAGAUGAGAUAAAGGUUUUAAAGUGUUAUUUAGCAUGCUAUUUAGUUGGCAGGCUGUAAUGGUGAAUAAGGGUUAGAAAUAGUUAAUGGCCAUCUAAAACAGGGAAGAAGAUGGCAUCUGAUUAGACAUGUUAUGACACCAUGACAACCGUGGUGAACAGCUAGUGUAUCAUCUCACAACAUGUCAGUGGUGCAUCACACCGGCGGACACCUUUUAAGAUAAUUUUGGUGGGCGUAUGGGGGCCGGGGGGCGGUCUGCCAGGAAGAAGGUGACAUUUGGAUGAGCUGUCACCACACCGCACAGUUGGGUAGUGAAAGAGGAAUUUGGGGGAGGGGGGUCAAGGGGUGGUAACUAAAGCAGGGCAAGCGGCCAUUUUGAAAGUAUUUGUUUUGGUUUGAAGGAAGAAGGAGAUGGACUAAUAAAAGGUUGUCAUAUAAUCCUUAAAUCCUAACUGGUUUAGCAGAGCAGUUGUUUACAACGGUGAUGCAGCCAAAAUAAAAAAUAAUAUAUGCAGGCGGAGCAUCCACCAAUACAGACAUAUAUUCUUUAUCCUCGGCAAAUCGCUGUGAUCACCAUGACAACAGACCCAAGUAGCCACGCGGUUUUUAUGUUCCACAUAAUGAAUACCGUCUUUGUAGAAAAAGCCAUAAUUGUCUUUUGUGUACGCCGCAAACAUGACCUUGAGCAGAUAUGUUUCGAACUUAACAACAAUAACAAGAGCAAGCAGCAGCAACAGCUGAGCGCCAGCAGGACCACCAGACACCGGACGGCGCCCCACGCCGGGUCCCGGGAUUUGCUGCAUUCCUGGCGGAGCGGCGAGUACCCACCAGCUGCACCCGCCAAAAACAUCUCCUUUUAAUCAGUCUGGACUUCAAAUAACCCGCUGACAACAUGUGACAUGGACUCCGGAGGCUUGCAACUUUAUUUGUUAUCAACGUCAAUAGGACAGAUACAAAGAGCAGCAUGGCUGCAGGGGGAUUUUCAAACACUGCUUGCUCUUCUCCAAACAUCAUUGAACAAAGUCAGCUGUUUGGACAGGCAACUUGUUGUCUCGUCAUGUGACGCUAAUGAACAUGAUCUAACCUUGAUAUCUGCCGCCCCCUGCCUGUGAUCUGGUGCUACUGCAGCCGUUCAGGACUUCUCCAGACUUCCCCCGCUGUCGUCGUCGUCGGGGGCGCCGUUCAUGUUGGCCUCCACUCGGGCCAGCAGCAGCGGCAAGUUGAUGCCGAGUUGAUUCGUCUCGUCCUCCUCAGAGUCAUCCCGGGGCGGGAAGAAACGCUUGGCCUUGGUCACAAAGUCCUCGGCAAUAUCCAGGUAGAGCAAGCGAUCCUGAAGAAAGAUUAUUUUGUCACCGUCUUUUGUCAAGACUGUACUCAAUGGACACUUUUUAGGCUCCUCACCAGGAUGAAGAGGUAUCGCUCCGGCGGCGGCUCCCUGCUGUUGAAGAGCGACGUCUGUGUGUGGAGCGUCUGCAGCAGAGAGCGCGCCGCGGCGGCGUUGCGCAUGCGGUCCAGCGAGGCGCCGGCCGACACGGUCAGCAGCGAGUCGGCCUCGGCCAUGAAGCCUAAAACAUGGACAACAUGGUAGUCCGUCUUGUAAUGUCACAUGGCACGACAAGAGUGGACAUGCAGUUUGGAAGAAAAAAAGACGGUGCUCACCAAGAUUCUCCAGGAUGGUCAUCCACUUAUCCCGAACUUCCCUGCGCGUGUCUCGCAUGGCUUCGAUGUCCACACUCAGGCGGCGGUAGCCCUACAAAGGACAAAACUGCAAAGCUCCUUCAUUCUGCCUCACUCUCACUCUUUUUGUGUGUGUGUGGAUGUACCGUGGAUCCCAUACGGGUCUGGUUGCGAGCCUGAAGCAGCGUGUAGAGGGUCCGGUCGUCAUCCCGCUCCGAGUGGCUCGGGUCCCCCGGCUCGCUCCACAGGUUGGCCUCCUCGUCACGGCGCUUUUGUACUUCGCGGCUGAAAUACUCCAACGGAUCCGGAGUCCUUGCCGAUGCGGGCGGAUAUUUUGUUAUGAUAUUAUUGUUUGUUAACCUGAUGCAGUACAGCACCAACUACUGCUGAGGAGGACCAUGUCAUUGUGAGAUUUUUUUUGAAGUAUCGACGGCUAGUAUCGGAGCCUCUGUGAUUAUCCGAUACCCUAAAAUAAUGUCGUAUUGGCCCGAUACUCAGCUGUUCCUACUUUUUAAAUUCAUAACAUUGUAUAAUAGAUUUUUUUUUAUACAAAUUUGUAUGAAUACAUUGAUUUUAAGUCCAAUAAACAUUGGAAAGCAAUUUGAUCAAAUACAAUAAAUAAAAAAAAUCUGGGUAAAAUAUCUCGUAUUAAACCGAAGCUAAUUUCGAGGUCAGGGCUUCAUUU